AUGGCCGAUUACCUGAUCAGUGGCGGCACCGGCUACGUGCCAGACGACGGGCUGACGGCGCAGCAGAUGCUCAACUGCGGAGACGGGCUCACCUACAAUGACUUCCUUAUACUCCCUGGCUACAUAGACUUCACUGCAGACCAAGUGGACCUGACUUCUGCCCUGACCAAGAAGAUAACUUUGAAGACUCCAUUGGUAUCCUCCCCUAUGGACACCGUAACAGAGGCUAGCAUGGCCAUUGCGAUGGCGCUCACAGGUGGGAUUGGAUUCAUCCACCAUAACUGCACCCCAGAAUUCCAGGCCAACGAAGUACGAAAAGUCAAGAAAUAUGAACAGGGAUUUAUCACAGACCCAGUAGUGCUGAGCCCCAAAGAUCGGGUCCGAGAUGUUUUCGAAGCGAAAGCCAGACACGGGUUCUGCGGCAUCCCCAUCACGGACAACGGGAAGAUGGGCAGCCGGCUCGUGGGGAUCAUCUCAUCCCGAGACAUCGACUUCCUGAAGGAAGAAGAGCACGACUUGCCUCUCAGCGAGAUCAUGACCAAGCGAGAAGACCUUGUUGUAGCACCUGCAGGGGUUACGUUAAAAGAAGCCAAUGAAAUUCUGCAGAGGAGUAAAAAAGGCAAGUUGCCCAUUGUUAAUGAACGGGAUGAGUUGGUGGCUAUAAUUGCUCGCACGGAUCUGAAGAAAAACCGGGACUAUCCCCUGGCAUCCAAAGAUGCCAAGAAGCAGCUGCUCUGUGGGGCUGCCAUUGGGACCCACGAAGAUGAUAAAUACCGUCUCGACCUCCUUGGGCAAGCUGGUGUGGAUGUUGUUGUGUUGGAUUCCUCCCAAGGGAACUCCAUUUUCCAAAUCAACAUGAUCAAAUAUAUCAAAGAGAAAUACCCUGAGCUUCAGGUCAUUGGAGGCAAUGUGGUGACAGCAGCUCAGGCGAAGAACCUGAUCGACGCCGGGGUGGAUGCCUUGAGAGUUGGCAUGGGCAGCGGGUCCAUCUGCAUCACUCAAGAAGCUGCUCCAAAGAUCCCUCCAGACCUAAAGUCCCACAGCCCCAAAUGCCCUUCCACAGUCACUGGCACCUAUAUCUUGGCGUGUGGGAGGCCUCAGGCCACAGCAGUGUACAAAGUGUCUGAGUACGCCCGGAGGUUUGGCGUGCCGGUGAUUGCAGACGGCGGCAUCCAGAAUGUCGGCCACAUCGCCAAGGCCCUGGCGCUUGGCGCUUCCACAGUGAUGAUGGGCUCCCUUCUGGCUGCCACCACAGAGGCCCCAGGGGAGUAUUUCUUCUCUGAUGGGAUCCGACUGAAGAAAUACCGGGGCAUGGGAUCGCUUGAUGCCAUGGACAAGAACCUCGGUAGUCAGAACCGAUACUUCAGCGAGACAGAUAAGAUUAAAGUGGCACAGGGGGUUUCUGGUGCCGUGCAGGACAAGGGCUCCAUCCACAAGUUCGUGCCAUACCUGAUUGCUGGCAUCCAGCAUGCCUGCCAAGAUAUCGGUGCCAAGAGCGUCACCCAAGUUAGGUCGAAAAUGUUGUCUCAGUCUGUUCCUGUCUUUCAUCACCAGGGCCAUGAUGUAUUCAGGAGAGCUGAAAUUUGAAAAGAGAACAACGUCUGCCCAAAUGGAAGGAGGGGUUCACGGUCUCCACUCAUAUGAAAAGCGCCUUUUCUGAUGAAGGUCCCCUUCGCCUUUCCACGGCCUUUUUGCCCUGUGGGUGCCUGUGCUGCCUUUCUCAUGAACUUCUCCCUUCAUGGAAGUGCCAUUUUGCUAGAGGGG
This is an RNA transcript of Euleptes europaea (tarantolino), 1764 nucleotides long. It is a transcript of the gene named inosine monophosphate dehydrogenase 2, with no coding region annotated. The record is from RefSeq and is a predicted model, not a curated record. The transcript has 15 exons. NCBI's taxonomy places the organism in Eukaryota, Metazoa, Chordata, Lepidosauria, Squamata, Sphaerodactylidae.